UUUUUCCGUGGUUUGGCUUGGAUAUUGGAGGAACCCUGGUCAAGCUGGUUUAUUUUGAACCUAAAGACAUCACUGCUGAAGAAGAAAAGGAGGAAGUGGAGAGUCUGAAAAGCAUUCGGAAGUACCUGACCUCCAAUGUGGCUUAUGGGUCGACAGGAAUUCGGGACGUGCACCUUGAGCUGAAGGACCUGACUCUGUGUGGACGCAAAGUCUUGGAGGAGGAACUUUCUUUGGUCUCUGCUGUCUUCUUACCGGCUGUAGUACUUUUGAAGAAGCUCUUGAGAUGGCGUCUCGUGGAGAUAGCACCAAAGUGGACAAAUUAGUUCGAGACAUUUAUGGAGGAGACUAUGAGAGAUUUGGAUUGCCAGGCUGGGCUGUGGCUUCAAGUUUUGGAAACAUGAUGAGCAAGGAGAAGAGAGAGGCUGCUAGCAAGGAAGACCUUGCCAGAGCAACUUUGAUCACCAUCACCAACAACAUUGGCUCCAUAGCAAGAAUGUGUGCUCUUAAUGAA
This 511-nucleotide long non-coding RNA is filed under the name Rattus norvegicus (Norway rat). RNAcentral's name for it is "ENSRNOG00000025286 circular RNA". Lineage: Eukaryota; Metazoa; Chordata; Mammalia; Rodentia; Muridae. The record is from RNAcentral.